RNAcentral lists this ribosomal RNA (252 nucleotides) under uncultured bacterium. RNAcentral's name for it is "partial 16S ribosomal RNA". It matches the Rfam family "Bacterial small subunit ribosomal RNA", at positions 524 to 776 of the family's 1533-position model. The record is from RNAcentral.
UACAGAGGGUGCAAGCGUUAAUCGGAAUACUGGGCGUAAAGCGUGCGCAGGCGGUUUUGUAAGUCUGUCGUGAAAGCCCCGGGCUCAACCUGGGAAUUGCGAUGGAGACUGCAAGGCUUGAAUCUGGCAGAGGGGGGUAGAAUUCCACGUGUAGCAGUGAAAUGCGUAGAGAUGUGGAGGAACACCGAUGGCGAAGGCAGCCCCCUGGGUCAAGAUUGACGCUCAUGCACGAAAGCGUGGGGAGCAAACAGG